Pangasianodon gigas (Mekong giant catfish) is the source of this 72-nucleotide non-coding RNA. Lineage: Eukaryota; Metazoa; Chordata; Actinopteri; Siluriformes; Pangasiidae. The record is from the annotation of a GenBank genome assembly.
UCCCUGGAGGACUAGUGGUUAGGCCUCUCCACUCUCGCCGCCCCGGCCGGAGUUCGAUUCCCAGCCAGGGAA